GAUCGAAUCUGUGUCUUGAAAUGAGGUGAAAAUUAUAAAAAUCCCCAGAUAUAGGUUGUGUUCCGAAAGUUGUGUCGAAAAUAUUCUGACGGCCCUGCAGCUUAGAGUUAUUUGGAUGUGGUUCCUGAACGUAGUCCAGAAGGCUAUCGACUUAGAAUUAUGCCAAGUGUGGAGUAAUGAGUUGGCAAAGGAAGACAAAGGCGGACGGGCA
Atta colombica is the source of this 211-nucleotide long non-coding RNA. RefSeq lists it as uncharacterized. NCBI's taxonomy places the organism in Eukaryota, Metazoa, Arthropoda, Insecta, Hymenoptera, Formicidae. The transcript is spliced from 3 exons. The record is from RefSeq and is a predicted model, not a curated record.